RNAcentral lists this ribosomal RNA (813 nucleotides) under uncultured Actinomycetes bacterium. RNAcentral's name for it is "bacterial SSU rRNA". It matches the Rfam family "Bacterial small subunit ribosomal RNA", at positions 61 to 889 of the family's 1533-position model. Lineage: Bacteria; Bacillati; Actinomycetota; Actinomycetes. The record is from RNAcentral.
GUCGAGCGAUGAGAUCCCUUCGGGGAAGGAUUAGCGGCGAACGGGUGAGGAACACGUGAGGAAUCUGCCUUCAACACUGGGAUAACUCCGGGAAACCGGGGCUAAUACCGGAUACGAGACCUGCAGGCAUCUGCGGGUCUGGAAAGUUUUUCGGUUGAAGAUGACCUCGCGGCCUAUCAGCUUGUUGGUGAGGUAAUGGCUCACCAAGGCGACGACGGGUAGCCGGCCUGAGAGGGCGACCGGCCACACUGGGACUGAGACACGGCCCAGACUCCUACGGGAGGCAGCAGUGGGGAAUAUUGGGCAAUGGAGGGAACUCUGACCCAGCGACGCCGCGUGCGGGAUGAAGGCCUUCGGGUUGUAAACCGCUUUCAGCAAGGAAGAAGCGAAAGUGACGGUACUUGCAGAAGAAGCACCGGCUAACUAUGUGCCAGCAGCCGCGGUAAUACAUAGGGUGCAAGCGUUGUCCGGAAUUAUUGGGCGUAAAGAGCUCGUAGGUGGUUCGUCACGUCGGAUGUGAAAAUCUGGGGCUUAACCCCAGACCUGCAUUCGAUACGGGCGAGCUAGAGUGUGGUAGGGGAGACUGGAAUUCCUGGUGUAGCGGUGGAAUGCGCAGAUAUCAGGAGGAACACCAAUGGCGAAGGCAGGUCUCUGGGCCAUUACUGACACUGAGGAGCGAAAGCGUGGGGAGCGAACAGGAUUAGAUACCCUGGUAGUCCACGCCGUAAACGGUGGGCACUAGUUGUGGGAACCUUCCACGGUUUCUGCGACGCAGCUAACGCAUUAAGUGCCCCGCCUGGGGAGUACGAUCGC